UGGAAAGAUAUGAUCUUAGUGGCGGACGGGUGAGUAAUGUAUGAGCAACCUACCUUUAAGAGGGGGACAACAGUUGGAAACGACUGCUAAUACCGCAUAAUACGAAUUUGUCGCAUGACAGAUUUGUCAAAGGAGCAAUCCGCUUAAAGAUGGGCUCAUAUCUGAUUAGGUAGUUGGAGAGGUAACGGCUCACCAAGCCUACGAUCAGUAGCCGGACUGAGAGGUUGAACGGCCACAUUGGAACUGAGAGACGGUCCAGACUCC
Molecule: ribosomal RNA, 264 nt
Filed under: uncultured bacterium
Lineage: Bacteria
Description: partial 16S ribosomal RNA
Rfam family: Bacterial small subunit ribosomal RNA
Source: RNAcentral